Long non-coding RNA from Lineus longissimus, 265 nucleotides. RefSeq lists it as uncharacterized. The record is from RefSeq and is a predicted model, not a curated record. The transcript is spliced from 3 exons. Lineage: Eukaryota; Metazoa; Nemertea; Pilidiophora; Heteronemertea; Lineidae.
GAAUUUUUCACAAGCCCACACAGAGGCAAGGGCCUCCUUCUCGAUUUGCGCGUAUUUCUUUUCUGCGUCGUGUGCGGGACGAUGCGUCACUCCGCAACGGACGAGGUCGGUGAAUUGUUGCGGUAAGGUGCGCCUUCCCAACGAGUUGUGGUAUAACAACCAGAUUACAGAUACAGGCAUAAAAGGGAUUAAGCAUAAAUGGACAACACCCGCCCAAAGACAAGGGGGAAUAAAGCGAGGGAUGCAGGCAAGAAAGGCAAGAAAG